CCUCUGGUAGCUCAGAAGGUAAAGUGUCUGCCUGAAAUGUAGGAGACCUGGGUUCGAUCCCUGGGUAGAGAA
Molecule: transfer RNA, 72 nt
Filed under: Bos taurus (domestic cattle)
Lineage: Eukaryota; Metazoa; Chordata; Mammalia; Artiodactyla; Bovidae
Also listed under: 3 other names
Rfam family: tRNA
About the family: Transfer RNA (tRNA) molecules are approximately 80 nucleotides in length.
Source: Rfam by way of RNAcentral